Molecule: ribosomal RNA, 504 nt
Filed under: uncultured Desulfobulbus sp.
Lineage: Bacteria; Pseudomonadati; Thermodesulfobacteriota; Desulfobulbia; Desulfobulbales; Desulfobulbaceae
Description: bacterial SSU rRNA
Rfam family: Bacterial small subunit ribosomal RNA
Source: RNAcentral
GCCAGCCCGCUCAGAAACUCAAGGAAGUUGACGGGGCCCGCACAAGCGGUGGAGUAUGUGGUUUAAUUCGAUGCAACGCGAAGAACCUUACCUGGUCUUGACAUCCCGGAGACCCUUAGGAAACUAGGGGGUGCUUCCAUCUGGAAGAAUCUGGAGACAGGUGCUGCAUGGCUGUCGUCAGCUCGUGUCGUGAGAUGUUGGGUUAAGUCCCGCAACGAGCGCAACCCUUGCCUUUAGUUGCCAGCAGUUCGGCUGGGCACUCUAAAGGGACUGCCGGUGUUAAACCGGAGGAAGGUGGGGAUGACGUCAAGUCCUCAUGGCCUUUAUGACCAGGGCUACACACGUACUACAAUGGCCGAUACAAAGGGCAGCGACACUGCGAGGUGAAGCCAAUCCCGUAAAAUCGGUCUCAGUCCGGAUUGGAGUCUGCAACUCGACUCCAUGAAGUUGGAAUCGCUAGUAAUCGUGGAUCAGCAUGCCACGGUGAAUACGUUCCCGGGCCUU